UACGGGGGGAGCAAGCGUUGUUCGGAUUUACUGGGCGUAAAGGGCGCGUAGGCGGUCGUGACAAGUCACUUGUGAAAUCUCCGGGCUUAACUCGGAACGGUCAACUGAUACUGUGCGGCUAGAGUGCAGAAGGGGCAACUGGAAUUCUUGGUGUAGCGGUGAAAUGCGUAGAUAUCAAGAGGAACACCUGCGGCGAAGGCGGGUUGCUGGGCUGACACUGACGCUGAGGCGCGAAAGCUAGGGGAGCGAACGGG
This 254-nucleotide ribosomal RNA is filed under the name uncultured bacterium. Its description in RNAcentral is "partial 16S ribosomal RNA". It matches the Rfam family "Bacterial small subunit ribosomal RNA", at positions 524 to 776 of the family's 1533-position model. The record is from RNAcentral.